UUUUAUGGAGAGUUUGAUCCUGGCUCAGAGUGAACGCUGGCGGCGUGCCUAAUACAUGCAAGUCGAACGAUGAAAUUUCUAGCUUGCUAGAAGUGGAUUAGUGGCGCACGGGUGAGUAACGCAUAGGUUAUGUGCCUCUUAGUUUGGGAUAGCCAUUGGAAACGAUGAUUAAUACCAGAUACUCCCUACGGGGGAAAGAUUUAUCGCUAAGAGAUCAGCCUAUGUCCUAUCAGCUUGUUGGUAAGGUAAUGGCUUACCAAGGCUAUGACGGGUAUCCGGCCUGAGAGGGUGAACGGACACACUGGAACUGAGACACGGUCCAGACUCCUACGGGAGGCAGCAGUAGGGAAUAUUGCUCAAUGGGGGAAACCCUGAAGCAGCAACGCCGCGUGGAGGAUGAAGGUUUUAGGAUUGUAAACUCCUUUUGUUAGAGAAGAUAAUGACGGUAUCUGACGAAUAAGCACCGGCUAACUCCGUGCCAGCAGCCGCGGUAAUACGGAGGGUGCAAGCGUUACUCGGAAUCACUGGGCGUAAAGAGCGCGUAGGCGGGAUAGUCAGUCAGGUGUGAAAUCCUAUGGCUUAACCAUAGAACUGCAUUUGAAACUACUAUUCUAGAGUGUGGGAGAGGUAGGUGGAAUUCUUGGUGUAGGGGUAAAAUCCGUAGAGAUCAAGAGGAAUACUCAUUGCGAAGGCGACCUGCUGGAACAUUACUGACGCUGAUUGCGCGAAAGCGUGGGGAGCAAACAGGAUUAGAUACCCUGGUAGUCCACGCCCUAAACGAUGGAUGCUAGUUGUUGGAGGGCUUAGUCUCUCCAGUAAUGCAGCUAACGCAUUAAGCAUCCCGCCUGGGGAGUACGGUCGCAAGAUUAAAACUCAAAGGAAUAGACGGGGACCCGCACAAGCGGUGGAGCAUGUGGUUUAAUUCGAAGAUACACGAAGAACCUUACCUAGGCUUGACAUUGAGAGAAUCCGCUAGAAAUAGUGGAGUGUCUAGCUUGCUAGACCUUGAAAACAGGUGCUGCACGGCUGUCGUCAGCUCGUGUCGUGAGAUGUUGGGUUAAGUCCCGCAACGAGCGCAACCCCCUUUCUUAGUUGCUAACAGGUUAUGCUGAGAACUCUAAGGAUACUGCCUCCGUAAGGAGGAGGAAGGUGGGGACGACGUCAAGUCAUCAUGGCCCUUACGCCUAGGGCUACACACGUGCUACAAUGGGGUGCACAAAGAGAAGCAAUACUGCGAAGUGGAGUCAAUCUUCAAAACACCUCUCAGUUCGGAUUGUAGGCUGCAACUCGCCUGCAUGAAGCUGGAAUCGCUAGUAAUCGCAAAUCAGCCAUGUUGCGGUGAAUACGUUCCCGGGUCUUGUACUCACCGCCCGUCACACCAUGGGAGUUGUGUUUGCCUUAAGUCAGGAUGCUAAACUAGCUACUGCCCACGGCACACACAGCGACUGGGGUGAAGUCGUAACAAGGUAACCGUAGGUGAACCUGCGGUUGGAUCACCUCCUUUCUA
This 1507-nucleotide ribosomal RNA is filed under the name Helicobacter pylori. RNAcentral's name for it is "bacterial SSU rRNA". It matches the Rfam family "Bacterial small subunit ribosomal RNA". Lineage: Bacteria; Pseudomonadati; Campylobacterota; Epsilonproteobacteria; Campylobacterales; Helicobacteraceae. The record is from RNAcentral.